RNAcentral lists this ribosomal RNA (500 nucleotides) under uncultured bacterium. RNAcentral describes it as "bacterial SSU rRNA". It matches the Rfam family "Bacterial small subunit ribosomal RNA", at positions 29 to 523 of the family's 1533-position model. The record is from RNAcentral.
AUUGAACGCUGGCGGAAUGCUUUACACAUGCAAGUCGAGCGGCAGCGCGGGGGCAACCCUGGCGGCGAGCGGCGAACGGGUGAGUAAUGUAUCGGAACGUACCCUGUCGUGGGGGAUAACACAGCGAAAGCUGUGCUAAUACCGCAUACGACCUGAGGGUGAAAGCGGGGGAUCGCAAGACCUCGCGCGAUAGGAGCGGCCGAUAUCGGAUUAGCUUGUUGGUGAGGUAAAGGCUCACCAAGGCGACGAUCCGUAGCUGGUCUGAGAGGACGACCAGCCACACUGGGACUGAGACACGGUCCAGACUCCUACGGGAGGCAGCAGUGGGGAAUUUUGGACAAUGGGGGCAACCCUGAUCCAGCCAUUCCGCGUGAGUGAAGAAGGCCUCGGGUUGUAAGCUUUUCUAGCAGGAACGAAACGGUAGGCGUACUAAUACUAGCUACUAAUGACGGUACCUGAAGAAGAAGACACCGGCUAACUACGUGCAGCAGCCGCGGUAA